AAAAAUUGAAAUCUUAAAAAUAUAAGAAUAAUGUUAUACAUUAAAUACAAGCUAAAUAAGACUUUUUAUAAAUGUUGCAUAAGAAAGAGUUAAUUAAUCAACAUCAAUAAGAAAAUCUAUCAUUAUAAUAUCUUUAAAUUAUUUAUACAUAAAGGCUAGAUCUUUGACCUGAAUUUUGAGUCAAAAUAAUGUGAAUCACACAAGCUUAUAUACGGUGCUUGGUAGGGGUGGGCGUUCGGGUACCCGUUCUGGUUCGGGUCGG
This 262-nucleotide long non-coding RNA is filed under the name Brassica rapa (field mustard). Its description in RNAcentral is "long non-coding RNA (BRAP_LNC001604)". Lineage: Eukaryota; Viridiplantae; Streptophyta; Magnoliopsida; Brassicales; Brassicaceae. The record is from RNAcentral.